RNAcentral lists this ribosomal RNA (253 nucleotides) under uncultured bacterium. RNAcentral describes it as "partial 16S ribosomal RNA". It matches the Rfam family "Bacterial small subunit ribosomal RNA", at positions 524 to 776 of the family's 1533-position model. The record is from RNAcentral.
UACGUAGGGUGCAAGCGUUGUCCGGAAUUAUUGGGCGUAAAGAGCUCGUAGGCGGUUCGUCGCGUCGGCUGUGAAAUCCCGAGGCUCAACCUCGGGUCUGCAGUCGAUACGGGCGGACUGGAGUUCGGCAGGGGAGACUGGAAUUCCUGGUGUAGCGGUGAAAUGCGCAGAUAUCAGGAGGAACACCGAUGGCGAAGGCAAGUCUCUGGGCAUUAACUGACGCUGAGGAGCGAAAGCAUGGGGAGCGAACAGG